Molecule: ribosomal RNA, 492 nt
Filed under: uncultured bacterium
Lineage: Bacteria
Description: partial 16S ribosomal RNA
Rfam family: Bacterial small subunit ribosomal RNA
Source: RNAcentral
AGUGAACGCUGGCGGUAGGCCUAACACAUGCAAGUCGAACGGCAGCACAGUAAGAGCUUGCUCUUACGGGUGGCGAGUGGCGGACGGGUGAGGAAUACAUCGGAAUCUACUUUUUCGUGGGGGAUAACGUAGGGAAACUUACGCUAAUACCGCAUACGACCUACGGGUGAAAGCAGGGGAUCUUCGGACCUUGCGCGAUUGAAUGAGCCGAUGUCGGAGUAGCUAGUUGGCGGGGUAAAGGCCCACCAAGGCGACGAUCCGUAGCUGGUCUGAGAGGAUGAUCAGCCACACUGGAACUGAGACACGGUCCAGACUCCUACGGGAGGCAGCAGUGGGGAAUAUUGGGCAAUGGGCGCAAGCCUGAUCCAGCCAUACCGCGUGGGUGAAGAAGGCCUUCGGGUUGUAAAGCCCUUUUGUUGGGAAAGAAAAGCAGCAGGUUAAUACCCCGCUGUUCUGACGGUACCCAAAGAAUAAGCACCGGCUAACUUCGUG